This 301-nucleotide unclassified non-coding RNA is filed under the name Glomeraceae sp. RNAcentral's name for it is "partial contains 5.8S ribosomal RNA and internal transcribed spacer 2". The stretch from base 1 to 71 matches the Rfam family "5.8S ribosomal RNA", at positions 84 to 154 of the family's 154-position model. The record is from RNAcentral. Lineage: Eukaryota; Fungi; Glomeromycota; Glomeromycetes; Glomerales; Glomeraceae.
GUGAAUCAUCAAAUUUUUGAACGCAAAUUGCACUCUCUGGUAUUCCGGGGAGUAUGCCUGUUUGAGGGUCAGUUUAAAUUAAAAAUCGAGGUGUUGCUUUUUUUUGUGACGCAUCGGAAUUGGGUUAUCUUUGUCCUUUGGAUUUUUUAAGAGACCUAAAAUUGAUACUUUGUGCAUCUCAGACGUACAUAAAGAAUAUUUUUUUUUUUAUCCGUCCGGAGUUGCCAAAUUUUUAUUAGGUAUGAACAUGUUAUUUUGUGGUAUCGUACCUAUAAUAUACUCAUUUUUUGACCUCAAAUCA